AGCGAACGCUGGCGGCAGGCUUAACACAUGCAAGUCGAGCGGCCGUAGCAAUACGGCAGCGGCAGACGGGAGAGUAACACGUGGGAACGUGCCCUUUGGUUCGGAAUAACGCAGGGAAACUUGCGCUAAUACCGAAUAAGCCCUUACGGGAAGAUUUAUCGCCAUUGGAGCGGCCCGCGUCUGAUUAGCUAGUUGGUGGGUAACGGCGUCACCAAGGCGACGAUCAGUAGCNGGUCUGAGAGGAUGAUCAGCCUCACUGGGAC
RNAcentral lists this ribosomal RNA (263 nucleotides) under uncultured bacterium. RNAcentral's name for it is "partial 16S ribosomal RNA". It matches the Rfam family "Bacterial small subunit ribosomal RNA", at positions 29 to 319 of the family's 1533-position model. The record is from RNAcentral.